UACGUAGGCAGCAAGCGUUGUUCGGAGUUACUGGGCGUAAAGGGUGCGUAGGCGGCUUUUUAAGUUUGGUGUGAAAUCUCCCGGCUCAACUGGGAGGGUGCGCCGAAUACUGAGAGGCUAGAGUGUGGGAGAGGAAAGUGGAAUUCCUGGUGUAGCGGUGAAAUGCGUAGAUAUCAGGAGGAACACCGGUGGCGAAGGCGGCGACCUGGUCCUAUACUGACACUCAUACACGAAAGCGUGGGUAGCAAACAGG
This 253-nucleotide ribosomal RNA is filed under the name uncultured bacterium. RNAcentral's name for it is "partial 16S ribosomal RNA". It matches the Rfam family "Bacterial small subunit ribosomal RNA", at positions 524 to 776 of the family's 1533-position model. The record is from RNAcentral.